CCCGCUGAGUUUAAGCAUAUCACUAAGAGGAGGAAAAGAAACUAACAAGGAUUUCCCUAGUAGCGGCGAGCGAAACGGAAAGAGCCCAACUUGGAAAUCGGGGUGUCUUUGCACCUCGAAUUGUAGUCUGGAGAAGGGUCCUCUACAGCGGACCGAGUUUAAGUCCCUUGGAACGGGACGCCAGAGAGGGUGAGAGCCCCAUCUAGCCCGGACCUGCUGCAUCACGAGGCUCUUUCGGUGAGUUGGGCUGUUUGGGAAUGUAGCCUUAAGUGGGUGGUAAAUUCCAUCCAAGGCUAAAUACUGGUGAGAGACCGAUAGCGCACAAGUACCGCGAGGGAAAGAUGAAAAGGACUUUGAAAAGAGAGUUAAAAAGUGCUUGAAAUUGCUGGGAGGGAAGCGAAUGGAUGCCUUGUGCGCCCCUUGGUUGUGUGUGGAACGGCGAGAGCUGGUUUGCCAAGCAAUGCAAGGGGCUGUCCAGCAUGGGAGGAUGCGGCGGGAUAAUGGCUUGUGAGCCUCUGGCUCCCUGCCAAUGCCGCCGCUGCCUCUGAAAAUGGCGGGGUGCUCCGGUGCCCCGCCAGAUGCUGGAACUUGGGCGUUCCAUCCGACCUGUCUUGAAACAUGG
RNAcentral lists this non-coding RNA (622 nucleotides) under Selaginella moellendorffii. RNAcentral describes it as "rRNA LSU_rRNA_eukarya". It matches the Rfam family "Eukaryotic large subunit ribosomal RNA", at positions 24 to 664 of the family's 3401-position model. The record is from Rfam by way of RNAcentral. Lineage: Eukaryota; Viridiplantae; Streptophyta; Lycopodiopsida; Selaginellales; Selaginellaceae.